Molecule: ribosomal RNA, 482 nt
Filed under: uncultured bacterium
Lineage: Bacteria
Description: partial 16S ribosomal RNA
Rfam family: Bacterial small subunit ribosomal RNA
Source: RNAcentral
AUUGAACGCUGGCGGCAUGCUUUACACAUGCAAGUCGAACGGUAACAGGCCGCAAGGUGCUGACGAGUGGCGCACGGGUGAGUAAUGCAUCGGAACGUGCCCAGUCGUGGGGGAUAACUACUCGAAAGAGUAGCUAAUACCCCAUACGCUCUAUGGAUGAAAGCGGGGGACCGUAAGGCCUCGCGCGAUUGGAGCGGCCGAUGUCAGAUUAAGUAGUUGGUGGGGUAAAGGCUCCCCAAGCCAACGAUCUGUAGCUGGUCUGAGAGGACGACCAGCCACACUGGGACUGAGACACGGCCCAGACUCCUACGGGAGGCAGCAGUGGGGAAUUUUGGACAAUGGGCGCAAGCCUGAUCCAGCAAUGCCGCGUGCAGGAAGAAGGACUUCGGGUUGUAAACUGAUUUUGUACGGAACGAAACGGCUCUGGUUAAUACCCGGAGCUAAUGACGGUACCGUAAGAAUAAGCACCGGCUAACUACGUG